ACGGCCGUACCAUGCUAGAAUAUACCGGUUCUCGUUAGAUCACCGAAGUCAGCAUCAUUGGGCGCGGUCGGUAGCUAGGGUGGGUGACCACCUGGGAACACUGCGUGCCGUU
This 112-nucleotide ribosomal RNA is filed under the name Caerostris darwini. Lineage: Eukaryota; Metazoa; Arthropoda; Arachnida; Araneae; Araneidae. The record is from RNAcentral.